AGGAUGAUGAGAAUAUUUGGUCCGUGUUGCUGAAGUGUUCUUGAUAACAACUUAUCCAAACUCUGAUUUUU
This 71-nucleotide small nucleolar RNA is filed under the name Strigamia maritima. RNAcentral describes it as "Small nucleolar RNA U18". It matches the Rfam family "Small nucleolar RNA U18". Lineage: Eukaryota; Metazoa; Arthropoda; Chilopoda; Geophilomorpha; Linotaeniidae. The record is from Rfam by way of RNAcentral.